GUAGGUGGCAAGCGUUGUCCGGAAUUAUUGGGCGUAAAGCGCGCGCAGGCGGUCCUUUAAGUCUGAUGUGAAAGCCCACGGGCUCAACCGUGGAGGGCCAUUGGAAACUGGGGGACUUGAGUACAGAAGAGGAAAGCGGAAUUCCAAGUGUAGCGGUGAAAUGCGUAGAGAUUUGGAGGAACACCAGUGGCGAAGGCGGCUUUCUGGUCUGUAACUGACGCUGAGGCGCGAAAGCGUGGGGAGCAAACAGGAUUAGAUACCCUGGUAGUCCACGCCGUAAACGAUGAGUGCUAAGUGUUAGGGGGUUACCGCCCCUUAGUGCUGCAGCUAACGCAUUAAGCACUCCGCCUGGGGAGUACGGCCGCAAAGGCUGA
Molecule: ribosomal RNA, 374 nt
Filed under: uncultured organism
Description: partial 16S ribosomal RNA
Rfam family: Bacterial small subunit ribosomal RNA
Source: RNAcentral